This 205-nucleotide ribosomal RNA is filed under the name uncultured bacterium. RNAcentral describes it as "partial 16S ribosomal RNA". It matches the Rfam family "Bacterial small subunit ribosomal RNA", at positions 568 to 774 of the family's 1533-position model. The record is from RNAcentral.
CAUGUAGGCGGAUUAAUAAGUUUGAAGUGAAAUCCUAUAGCUUAACUAUAGAACUGCUUUGAAAACUGUUAAUCUAGAAUGUGGGAGAGGUAGAUGGAAUUUCUGGUGUAGGGUAAAUCCGUAGAGAUCAGAAGGAAUACCGAUUGCGAAGGCGAUCUACUGGAACAUUAUUGACGCUGAGAUGCGAAAGCGUGGGGAGCAAACA